This 467-nucleotide ribosomal RNA is filed under the name uncultured bacterium. RNAcentral describes it as "partial 16S ribosomal RNA". It matches the Rfam family "Bacterial small subunit ribosomal RNA", at positions 28 to 506 of the family's 1533-position model. The record is from RNAcentral.
GACGAACGCUGGCGGCGUGCUUAACACAUGCAAGUCGAACGGAAAGGCCCUGCUUUUGUGGGGUGCUCGAGUGGCGAACGGGUGAGUAACACGUGAGUAACCUGCCCUUGACUUUGGGAUAACUUCAGGAAACUGGGGCUAAUACCGGAUAGGAGCUCCUGCUGCAUGGGGGGGGUUGGAAAGUUUCGGCGGUUGGGGAUGGACUCGCGGCUUAUCAGCUUGUUGGUGGGGUAGUGGCUUACCAAGGCUUUGACGGGUAGCCGGCCUGGGAGGGUGACCGGCCACAUUGGGCCUGGGAUGCGGCCCAGACUCCUACGGGCGGCAGGAGUGGGGAAUAUGGCACACUGGGCGGAAGCCUGAUGCAGCAACGCCGCGUGCGGGAUGACGGCCUUCGGGUUGUAAACCGCUUUCGCCUGUGACGAAGCGUGAGUGACGGUAAUGGGUAAAGAAGCACCGGCUAACUACGU